Molecule: long non-coding RNA, 1805 nt
Filed under: Mus musculus (house mouse)
Lineage: Eukaryota; Metazoa; Chordata; Mammalia; Rodentia; Muridae
Description: long non-coding RNA chr2:119965002-119966807
Source: RNAcentral
GAAAUGAAUUUCACCUCCUUUCUCUGUAGGCGUCUGUUUGUUUGUAUUAUGGAACUAUUAUCCUUGACUUAAUUAUGUGUGAAUAUUGAUGGAGAAAGGAGGUGUAGGGUGCUGGUCCUGGUGUUUGAAAUUCUGAUCAUGUUAAAAAUGUGUUACCUCACUUGUGGUGCUGGGUCCCCUCAUCUUCUCUAAGAAGGUGUGAUUCCCUCUUGCCCAAGGAAUUCAUAACAAGAUUCUGGCUCCAUCAACUACCUUAUUAUUUUCCCCUGAGAAAAUGCUUGAGACUUGGAAUUACUAUAGACUAAAGUAUAAGUCAUAGUUGUUGGCUCCAAAAUCUGAGAAUUAUGAUACAGUUGUGUGGGAAAAAAAAAAAAAAAGAACUUUUAGUUACUAUUUCAAUAGUAGGGCAUGGUAGGACUGGGCAUGGUAGUGCACACUUGUAAUUCCAGCACUUAGAAGACUAAAGCAGAAGGAUUGCAAGUUUGUGUCUACCCUGGCCUAUCAAGGGGACAGACACACACACACACAUACACACUUGUGGGGGCCAGGGGAGUAGGAAGAGAGAAUGUUAUAGUAGGUAGGAUGAAUAUUAUGGAAUACCAAAGUGAAGGGAUUUUGUCAUUCAGCAGACUGUUUCAUAUCCAGAAUAGUUCUUCCCUUACCCUUUCAGUCAUAAUUAAAAACCUAAGCUUUCUGGUAAAGUAGGAAUAUACUUUUUACUUUUACUAUUAACAUACUUAUUUUCAGAGACUAAAAAAGACAUACUUCUCCCUUAUUUCUUGGGGUAUCACAAAGAUUCAUUCAUAAUACCAGAGAUUUCUACUCAUUGUUUUUUGGAAGUAGACAUAGAGGCAGCCCUUCCCUUUCCCAAAUCAUGUCACUCAAGAAACAGCUAAAAUGAAAAGCAGUUUCUCCCCUAACCAGAGACCGUAGCCAAAAUAAAAAUUUGUGGGGCUGGGUAUUUCCCAAAUGAAACCAGCCUCUAGGUGCUUGAAGGUUUUGUUCACUGUCACCUGCACAGGAUGUAAAGAAAAGGCGAGUCAGAGUGAGCAAUCUUUACCAGGGAAGUAAGGCAGUAUUUGAGUCACAAAGUAUAUUUUUUAUCUGCUAUCAUGGCAUCAAUGAUCUGUAGAGCUUUUUCACUCAUUGGCUGUCAGGGUAUGAAGGACUGACAACCUGUAAAGAUGAAGAUAUUUAUAUUUUUGUAUAGUUGUUUUCAUAGAUUUCUCAAAGGAUGAAGUUUUCGACCUAGAAGAGAUUUGUAUUGAGUAUAGAAAUGUUUCCUAUCUAGUUUGUAAAUAAUCAUGGUGCAUUUGAGGGGUCUCUCGGGAACUCGUGAGGCAAGAAUCACUGUUCUGAAAAUGUAUAGACUGAGAUGUAGCUGCUGCAUUUGCCUUUCUUAAAUAAUUAUAUUUUGGAAUGUAACCCGUUCUGUCUUCAAUGACAGGAUUUGCUUGUGUUGUAAAAACACUUUAACACAAGUGCUUCCGGUGCCUGGGCUGUGCCUGGGUGAUUGUAUUUCUUUUACACUACUGCGUCUUUAUCCUAAGUCCCACUCUGUAUCCUCUGACCUAGGUUGUGAGACCAACUUUGGAAUGAAUCUAGCCAGUGAAUUACUUCUAUGUUUGAUUUCCUUUUUAGAUUAACUCUGAUAAUCACUAGAUUGAAAUGAUGAAAAACUUACACUGCAAAUGGCAGUGGUAGUAAAUCUUUCAUUGGUUUUGCGCUGCUUGCUCUAGACAGGUCAUCAGCACUUAACCUUUCCUGUUUACUACAAAAGCUGAUAAAGUAAAAACAGUAUUCCU